GCUAAGGAAACAUACGAGAAUCCAGUGGAUUUACUGCUAGAGCCAAAGUGGACAAUCUGGGAUUGCAGUGAUAUAAUUCCACUUCUGAAAAGUGCCAUGAAAAAAUUGAGAGAUACUCUGGAAAGUGGACUUCAACUACAGGAAGUGAAUGUAACUCUGGGUCCAUACACAGCUGAUUCUGACUGCCUUAAGAUCUCCGAAGAUCGAAAAAGCAUCA
This is a non-coding RNA of Notechis scutatus (mainland tiger snake), 217 nucleotides long. NCBI's taxonomy places the organism in Eukaryota, Metazoa, Chordata, Lepidosauria, Squamata, Elapidae. The record is from RefSeq and is a predicted model, not a curated record.